Molecule: ribosomal RNA, 427 nt
Filed under: uncultured bacterium
Lineage: Bacteria
Description: bacterial SSU rRNA
Rfam family: Bacterial small subunit ribosomal RNA
Source: RNAcentral
UGGGGAAUUUUGGACAAUGGGCGCAAGCCUGAUCCAGCCAUGCCGCGUGCAGGAUGAAGGCCUUCGGGUUGUAAACUGCUUUUGUACGGAACGAAAAGACUCCUUCUACUAAAGGGGGUCCAUGACGGUACCGUAAGAAUAAGCACCGGCUAACUACGUGCCAGCAGCCGCGGUAAUACGUAGGGUGCAAGCGUUAAUCGGACUUACUGGGCGUAAAGCGUGCGCAGGCGGUUAUGCAAGACAGAGGUGAAAUCCCCGGGCUCAACCUGGGAACUGCCUUUGUGGCUGCAUAGCUAGAGUACGGUAGAGGGGGAUGGAAUUCCGCGUGUAGCAGUGAAGUGCGUAGAUAUGCGGAGGAACACCGAUGGCGAAGGCAAUCCCCUGGACCUGUACUGACGCUCAUGCACGAAAGCGUGGGGAGCAAACA